UAAAAUUUGAAAUAUAACAUAUAAGAAAAAUAUAUAUUAUAUGGCUAAUGUGAUUGUUUAGUAUCUUUUAAUAAUAUAAGAUUAAACAAAAAAGAGCUAAAAUACAAAAAUUGUUAUCAAAUAUUUAUUAUUCAUAAUCAUUAAUUGUCAUAUAUACGUUAAUCAUAUUAGGUAAUUUCGUAGAUUUUACUUAAGGAAAGUGCGAGAAUAUUCUUUUGUAUAUUAUUUAUCAAUUUGAUAGUUAGUUUAAAAAAAUAAUAUAAAUUAAGAUGGACCAACCUAUUUUUCUAAGAAUUGUGAAUUUCAUUUUCAUGGUGACACGUGCCUACAAAACAAUGUUGGAAUGUUUCUCAAUUAAUAUAUAAGAGAUUCCAAGACUAUGGUCUUCAUUCUUUGUGAGAUCUUUCAUCGGAUUUGAGGCAUACUCAUUUUCAUAUUCAUGACUAAAAAACUUUAGUAUGAAUUUAUCAAAUUUUUGAAAAAAAAUCUAAUUAAAUGUUAAUAUAACUUAUAUUCCCAUUUUAAAAGAAAAUCAAAUACCACUAUCUUUUUUUCAAUACCAAUAUCUUAAAAUGUUUCAGUACAUAAAUAAUAAUCUUAAAAAGUUAAUGUUGAAGGAAUUGAAUUAUUAUUUUGAUAUAGAAUAGUGUUUCAAAAUAAAUAAAAAUUUCAAAAAAAAUCUUUGUAAACCAUGAAAAAGGAAAAUUAAAAGCUCCAGUGAUUUUAACUAAAAAAAUUAUGUCAUACUCGUCCUCCAAAAACUAAUUAAAUAAAAAUUUAUUUACAUGUUAAAAAUUAGUAAAAGACAACUAAACUAAAAGAAACUUGCAUAAUUACAAGCCUACCAAAGGUAUUUCCCGGACCAUCCAGAUCCAACCCAUAAAAUUUGGAAGGAGCUCCAUAACUUCCGAAUCCAGAAUGGUAUAAUUUAGUAAACUUGGUGUAACUGUAAAAUUUUGUAUAACUGAGUAAGAUUUGUUGUAGCUGUAUAACUUAGUAAGACUUGGUUAGCUGUGAAACUUUGUAUAAUUUAGUAAGACUUGAUGUAGCUGUAAGACUUUGUAUAACUUAGUGAAAAUUUAUUCUGUUAUUUUUUUUUUUUUGGAUGCAGGUGUUGUUAUUGAUAUAUUUACUGACGUUAAAAAUAAAAAAGAAAGAUUAAUUUAUAGAGAAAAACUAGAUAAACUAGAUAAAUUACAUAAUGUAAAAUUUCUUUUUCAAAUGUCAAAUUCAAGUCAUCUCCUCCUCACUGUGGUCACCAUGGUCGGGAACAGAGUUGUGGCCGCCAAAAUCAUCGUCGCUUUGGUUGGAGAUGAAAGAGAAAGCUUCACAGGAGCAACAAUGGUGAACUUUUGAUUAUUUGCACAUCUGGUCUUACAACUUUUGUUUAUUUUUCAAUUUGCCGCAAUUUUUUUUCACAAAUUUUCUCUUAGACUUUUAAUUGUGCAAUCUAGACCAAAAGAAUAUUCUGAUUUUACAACAUCUAUGACUGCCAUUUUGUUUUAUUUUGUUUCUGCCACAGAUGUUUCUGAUUUUCAAAUAAAUCCAUUUUAUUUGGUCUCAUAUUUCUAAAUGUGCAUAUAUAUAUGUGUAUAUAUUUAAAUGCAUCUUAAAAUGAUUAAUAUGAGCUAAAUGAGAUGAUAAAUAUCUGUAAAAUGAUAACAUAUCAAUGGUGUAUAAAUAAUUUCUUGUGUACAUUGUUUCUUAUGAUAUUUGCAUGUAGUCAUAUGUACAUGACACUAUGUAGAAACUUAAUAUUUUGCUUAAAAACCAGAAACUUAAUAUUUUGCUUAAAAACUAAAAAAAUUAUUUUAGCUAAAACUGAAAAUACUUAAGGAUUUGCUAAAGUAUUUACGCAUAUUAAAAAAUACAGAAAUAUUUAGAAAAUAUAACUUUACGGAACAAAGAAUAUAUUUAUUCAGUGAUAGACAUGAUAUCUGCAUACCAUUUGACAGCAUUCAACAAUAUUAUUUAAGUAUGAUCCACACGUACGAUGAUUCUUGAAUAUCUAUAUGUACAUGUCAUGGUAUACACAAACAUUUUCGGUAUCCACAUGUACAACAAUGAAUAUGUACAAGGUUUUAUGAUAAAUAACAUGUACAAAUGUUCAUUGGUACUUUGCGCAAGUUAUGAUAUUUAAUGAUUUUGAGUAAGUUGUUUAGUUCAUUUAGAUCUCGUUAGGUUUCAUUAGAUAUAUAUAUAUAUAGAAAUAUGUAUUGAAUUUGUUUGUACAAUAACCUGUACAAUAAUACAUAGAAACCGGAUAAUUUUGUAGAUACAUAUGCAAGAAAUCACAUAUACACCUGAUAAAUUUGUUAGAAACAUUUUAAAUUUGCAAUAUUUGCAUGGUUAAAAAUUGUCAUGGUGUACACUUUUUUUUAUUGUCCACACGUACAACGUUUCACCAAAAAGAACACAUGUACACCAAAUAGGACAAUUAGAAAUAAUGAUAAUUUAUGAUUUGAAUGAUUUUGAAUAUCUUGUUUUAGUUAAUUUAGAUCAUUUAAAAUUUUAUUUAUGUUUAUAUUACAUUUAAAUGGUUUUUACCAUUUUAAUUUAGUUAAAUUUUAUACACUCUAUUUGCUUCAUCUUAACAUUUUAUGAUUUUAAUGAUAUUUAGCAUUUUAAUUUAGUUACUUUAAGUCAUUUUAGGUUAUAUUUUGUAAUAUACAUUGCGAUUAUGCGUUCAUAUGUAUAUACUAAGGGAAACAGUGCAUAUUUGUAAGUUUAGGAUCAAUUAAAGAGGACAAAUUUGUAUAUUCAAAAAUUUGGGGUCAAAUAACAAUAAAGCUAAUUAUGAAGGGCUUAAAAUGAAAAUAAAAGAAAUUGUUUGGGUAACGCUCGCUCGAUCCUGAUCUCAGGCUCGAGUUUCAGUUCGCCAUGGGAAGAGCUCAAUCAAAGCAAAGGAUCGUGGGAGAAGGUCUCGGUGGUGAUAAGGUUGCGGCGGUGACCUGAAAUCAUUGAGAAGAUUUGAAAUUGUUGAGAACAAAAAGGACUGCGGCGGAAUGGAGCUUGUUGCGGUGGAUUGGAGCUUGUCGGCGGAGCUCGGAUGGAGCAAUGGAUCUCUGUCUUUUUUUAUCAAGGAUAUCUGUCUCUUUAAGCUUGUAACCAUGGAUCUCUGUCUUUUCAAGCUUAGGAUUCACAAAAAGAGAUGAGUUCGCCGUCGUCUUCUGUCGGAGUAAACCUGUCGUCAUCUAAGGUCAUGAGCUCUGCCACGCCGACGGUUCUUAGCUCGGCCACAAGAACGGCAACUAGAGAUGGAAGCUUGUUGUCUCUCUCAUUUGCCUCCCUAUCUUUCUUUCAAUGUUAGUUAGGUCAUUGGAGAUUAUCAGAGAUUGAAAAAAAGAAUUUUUGUUAUUUGAUUUAGUGAUAAUUAAAGAACGUCGUGGAUGAAUUGAAAAAUGUAUAAUUAUAAAACUUAAAAGAAAAUGUUUUGAACAUUUUAAAAUUAAAAAUAUGUAAAAAACAAAUCCUCUGAACAAAAAAAGAAGGAGAAUUUGAUCUUAGAAAGAAUAAGUUGAUAAGAAAGAGAACUAUCCUAAUAUAAAGAAGUGUCUUAUAAUGUAAUAUUAAACUAGAAAAAGUGUCUUAUAGUGUAAAUGUUUCUUAUUGAACUCCUACAAACUUAAGACUAACGUCUUUUCAAGUUCGUAUUUAAGUGACGUUGGAGGUGAUGAAAGCUUUGAUUCGAAAUCAAGUGGCAAUUGUCUGUUUGUAUAUAGUUUUGAAUCUGUGCUGUCAAAUAAAUUCAGUCCGUAUCACGCUUUCAUUUGUUUAUUUUUUUGGGCUACACUUUCCUAUAUAAGAACUUGAAAAGACGUUAGUCUAGGAGUUAAUUGACUAAUUUUAGUCUAGGAGUUAAUCAACCAAGAAGUUGAAUUGGUUAGAGUAGCUUUUAUAACUAUUUUUUAAUAAUUACUAUUUUUGGUUAAAGUACAGUAUGCAGCAUGUAUAAUGUAAAACCAAUUCAACUUCUUGGAACUGAACUUUUUCAUAGAAAAGAUAUAAAACUAACUCGUAUAUUUUAAAACUUUCAUCAUUAUAUUGAAGGUGUAGCAGGUAGUAACGAUCAUGCAUUAUAUAUAUGCUGAACGUUAAUCUCGUCCAAAACUUUUAAACAAAACAUGAACUAAUUUUUUUGUUGCAUUCCUAAUAAUUUACCAAACAAUCGGCUAGACACUCAAUUCAGAAUAUAAUUAAGUUUCGUAUGUAGUUCUUUUUUCCUCUUUGGAUGAAGUGAUAACUUGGGUUUAAGAAAGUCUCGCAUUACACAAACACCCAUAUCACGGUCUAUCCAUGAACUGGCUUGUUCUGUAGCAUUGUUAAAGCAAUGAUAUGAUGCAGAUCAUAUACAUCGUGUUAUCUAUAUACGAUGUAUAUAUGAAUAGUGAGCGCUGACAUAACGAAUAUAUCAUGAAUUGAUAUAUAUAUAUAUAUAUAUAUAUAUAUGUACAGUCCUGUAUAUGUAUGUAUGGGGGUAUAUGAAGAAAACGAGAAGGUUCCUUUUUGUUCAUCCUUGUAUGACUUACGACCUACCAUGUACAACUUAACUAGUACGACCUUACAAACCAAAACCCUAAAAAUAUUUUUAAUCAUCGUUUUUAAUUAACUAUUUAUUUUCAACUAGUAUUUAAUAGUUUUGUCUCAAAUAGCCGGCUUGACUUGUUGACAAGCAAUUUUUCUUAAAUAGCGUUUUCAACUUGAGCACUAGAUAAACGUACAUAUAUGGGUCCGAAUGGUGACGGCGGAUUUAGUAAUAAAAGCGGUGCAAAAUUAAAGUACGGGACGGGACAACUGCGGUUCGUGCGGAAUUAAAGUGCGGUGCGGUACAACUGUGGUUUUAAGUAAAAAGCGGUGCAAACUAUUGUUUGAUUGGUGACAAUAUAUAUUUGCAGUAUUGAAUAAAUAUUUAAUUAAUAAAAUAAUUUUAUUUUGAAUAUAUAAUAUAGUUAAAUAAUAUAAAAUAAUAAAUUAUAUUAAAACAUUAAAUAACAAAAUAGACCGAAAUAAUUUUGAUCGGGAAGAAUAUAUUUAGCAGUUUUGCUAAGUAAAUUUAAAGUAAUGUGAUUUAAAGUAUAUAUAUAUUUACAGCUUUUUAAUUUUUAAUUAAAAAUUAAACCGACUCAUUAGUUUUAGUGAAUUUAAUUAACCAUUAUCGACUUAACUCAAAUAUAGUUUUUAACAUAAUAUGUAACUGGAUAGAUAAACUAAUUACGGUUCGACUGACCCGUCCAUUUCAAUUUUCAAAACACUUUUAGGAUUGAGAUAUGAAUUGGGACAAGUUUUUUUCGUGAUUUUGAAUUUUUAAAUUUUCGGAUAUCCAUUUAGGUUCGGAUUCGGGUUCGGACAAAACCUAUAAAAUGAAAUACCAUAAAAAAAUUCAUUCGGUAUUUAUGUCGGAUUUGAAUUGGUUCGAACUCAUUUUUAUUGGACCGGGUUUGAUCCAUAUUUUCGAAUUCGGUUUAUUUGCUCAACCCUAAUUUUAAGUAUCUAAAUUUUUAUUUUGAUAUUUAGAUAGACAUUCAUUUUGGUUUGAUGAAGUGUUUUGCAAUUAAAAAUCUAAAAUCUGAUUUUUUUUUCAACUACAUAACUAUAUUAAUUAGAAUUCGUAUAAUUAUAUAUAUAACUGCAGUUGUUAUUAAAUGAGCAAGUAGUUAAAUAUUUGAAUUAAAUAAUAAAUAAAUACUUAGAAGUAAAAACGCACAUAUAUCUCAAAUUUAUUGUUAUGCUUUUUGUUAAUGGAAAAGAAUAUAUAGCUUUAAAAUUAGAAAAAAAAGAUAUGAAAUGCAAUACAAUAGUAUCAGAUAACAUAAGGAAAUUAAUAAAACAAUCAAUACAAUACUAAAAGGGGAAUACCCUCAAAAUUUAUGCUGCCACGUCACCUAAAAUAAUUGCCCAAUGAAAACCACUUAAACGGCCACGACAGAUGGACUCUCCGUGUUAUUUCUGUCCAGAGUCCACCAUGUAAUAAAAUGGAUUUCUAUUUGGGCUUUGUUAAAUAGCUGGUCCAAGUCUCAUAAAAAGUCUGUUGGAUACUGUUUGUUUAUAUGGCCCAAAAAAAGUAGUUCUGAGAUUUUAUUAGUUUGUCGACCAAACUUUGUCGUUUCAUAGAUUAGGUUUUCAUUGUUCUCAUUCUUCAACCCUUCAACGCCAUGAAUCUCUGUUAAUUUUCACAAGUCUGCAAAACACGUUUCUUUCUCAACUCUUAACCUCCCAACUUUGUUCAUAUACAUAUUUUCGUUUGGGUUUGUUCAACGUAUUCCUCUUUAAUUUGACAAUGAAUUUUUCUUUCCCAUUAAUGAUCUCCAACUCUCCGUCUCCCUUCUCAGACAAUGAAAACCGUAAAUUCACCUCUCAAAUUCUAUAAAUUAGAGAUGGUUGGGUUGAGAGUAGGAUGAAUCUACACAGAUUCUCUCAGUUUAUCUUCUACCUCAAACCAAGCACCCGUCCACCACUCAACCUUUGAUCCUUUAAUGCUCUCCGACUCAGCAGAUCUUCUCAGCUCGGGUAAUCGUUUUAGGACUCUCGAAACAUCAAGAAGAACGGUGAAUUCAUGGGAAUCACUUUACUUCUCUUCAUCUUAUUAGGCUAAGAAGAUCAUAUAUUCCCAUCUCUGUUUCAUUUUUGAAAAAGCCAUAUUAUUUAACUCUUCUAGCUUUCAACGUAGGAUACAGUGAUCCGGCGGCUGAGCCACGUCCCGGUGGUGCUCGCGAUCCCACCAGAAUUGCAGACCUGAGAGUUGUUGGUGUUGGAGAAGAGAAGUGUCGCUAACCUCUUCGUAAGGCCAUAGCUCUCUAGGAUCGUUGGAGGAGUUGUGGGAAUCAACAGAUCUGCUCAGUAAUAGUAUAAGGUGUCGGUUGUUUAUGUGAUCUGUGGAGCAUUGUGUUGCAGAGAGAGAGCUUCUCCGAAUGGUGAGGCUGCAGCAGAAAGCAGUGACGUUGAGAAAAAAGCAUAAUUGAUGUGGCUUCAACUUUGGAACCUGAGGAAGCAGACAAUGGAGUAGGCUACAGUACUCUGGUCAACCAACAAAGGAGUAUAUCGACUAUGCAGUUAAAAAUGUUCUGUUAUACAUGGUUUGCUUGGAAUCAAGGUUAAGGUCAUGCUUGACUGGGACUCUAUUAGGAAGCUAGGACCAAUGACACCAUUACCAGAUGUUGUUAUCAUCCAUACUCCCAAAUGAAAAGAUGUUAAUUCCGCACCUGAUCAGGUUGUUAAUUUUGCUGCUCUUCUAUUGGAAGCUCCCCUCACCCUCACAGCCGUAGAUUACCCUGAGAUGAUCUCAGUCGUCUAGAAGAGAUGGCCAGGAAAGCCUCAUGUUCUUCAUAAAAGUAACCUUUCUAAUGGAGAGAACUUACUCUAUAUGUUGGAUUCAAUAUUGUCAUCACUCUUGAGAUAUAUGCUGAGAAGAGUGCUAAUGGAUGGGCGAGUCUGAUGGUGAGGGCCACUGAGUUGAGCAUUCCAGCAAAGCGGAAAACUCCUCCCUUGGUAUCUAUUUGCGCAAAGCAAGUGGAAAGAGUCACAAAAGUUGCUCAAAACCAGGAGAUUAUAAAGUCACAAGUGGUGGUUAGAGUUUAUUUUUUUCUUUUUACAGUUGUGAUCUGUGGGAUCAUUAUGAUUCACCCUGCUGGGCUGAGGGAGAAGCUAUCUUCAGACAUGUGAUUUGUUAUCUCUUAAAUUUAGCCAUUAUAGAGAGGUAGGGUGAGACCUUUACAGAUGUUAUGAAAGUAUUUAUGAUUGUUGUUUUAUACAUUUUGCAGAUUGUCAUCACUCUUGAGAUAUAUGUUAUUGAGUAUAUUGUUUGGAUUCCUUGGU
Molecule: long non-coding RNA, 7812 nt
Organism: Brassica rapa (field mustard)
Lineage: Eukaryota; Viridiplantae; Streptophyta; Magnoliopsida; Brassicales; Brassicaceae
Source: RefSeq, a predicted model, not a curated record